This is a ribosomal RNA of Panthera pardus (leopard), 121 nucleotides long. NCBI's taxonomy places the organism in Eukaryota, Metazoa, Chordata, Mammalia, Carnivora, Felidae. The record is from Ensembl.
AACUUCUGUUAAGUUUCUCAGGAUCCACAUAAGAUCUCAUCUGAUCUCUGAAGCUAAGCAGGGUCAGGCCUGGUUACUACUUGGAUGGGAGACUACUGUAAAUUUUAAAUUACAUACGUAU